AGAAACUCUCGUCUCGUCCUUAAAUGGUGAGUCAUGGUUUAUUCCAGAGCGCCUGUGAACCAGCCAGACACAGAAUAAUCGGCUCCAUUUCAAAGGGCCGUGAGCUGCAGCGUCUUCCUGCAGACGGAGAAGGCGUUCAUUCCACAUGAUGCCAGCGGAAACACUGCAGUGAAAAGCGCUGAUGGCGGCCAAACAGCUACGCAAACCACCAGAGGAGCCAAACCUCGGCUACGGCGUGAAGGAGAACCGUCGACAAACCAAUGCGAGAAAGAUACGUUAAAAGUAAAAGUACUGUACUUGUAUUGUAAAUCGACUGUACUUGUAUUGUAAAUCGACUGUACUUGUUUAGCGCUUUUCUAGUCUUCUGACCACUCAAAGCGCUUUAACACUACAUGACAUCAUUCACCCAUUCACACCCAUUUAUACCCUGAUGACAGGAGAACCACACACAGUGACACCUGCCCAUCAGUAACUACCAUCCACACACUGUAGUCGCAGCUACAGGAGCAUGUUGGGUUAAGCGUCUUGCCCAAGGACACAUCGACAUGCGGGUUAGCCGGGCCUGGGAUGGAACCGACAACCCUCUGAUCGGAGGACGACCGUGCUCCCCACUGCACAGUCGCCCACGGCCAGGUGAAUUGUGUCGUUGUUUGUAGAUUGUCGUUGUUCUUCUCCGUGUGUGCCAAUCCCACAUGUCUCUUUAAUCGGGUCCAGCGUACAUCCAGGACAUGGUCAAACCCGACAUCCCAACCCGCACUCUCCGCUCUGCAUCUGCAACACUGCUCG
Molecule: long non-coding RNA, 786 nt
Organism: Gasterosteus aculeatus aculeatus (three-spined stickleback)
Lineage: Eukaryota; Metazoa; Chordata; Actinopteri; Perciformes; Gasterosteidae
Source: Ensembl